RNAcentral lists this ribosomal RNA (458 nucleotides) under uncultured bacterium. RNAcentral describes it as "partial 16S ribosomal RNA". It matches the Rfam family "Bacterial small subunit ribosomal RNA", at positions 338 to 795 of the family's 1533-position model. The record is from RNAcentral.
CCUACGGGUGUCAGCAGUGAGGAAUAUUGGUCAAUGGGCGAGAGCCUGAACCAGCCAAGUCGCGUGAGGGAGUACUGCCCUAUGGGUUGUAAACCUCUUUUGUCGGGGAGCAAAAGACGGACGUGUCCGGCUGUGAGGGUACCCGAAGAAAAAGCAUCGGCUAACUACGUUCCCGCAGCCGCGGUAAUACGGAGGAUGCGAGCGUUAUCCGGAUUUAUGGGGUUUAAAGGUUGCGCAGGCGGUUUUUUAUGGCAGCGGUAAAAUCGUGGGGCGCAACCCCAUCCAGCCGUUGAAACUGGGGAUCUAGAGUGUGCGAGAGGUAUGCGGAAUGCGUGGUGUAGCGGUGAAAUGCAUAGAUAUCACGCAGAAACCCGAUUGCGAAGGCAGCAUAACGGUGCACAACUGACGCUCAGGCACGAAAGCGUGGGUAUCGAACAGGAUUAGAUACCCUUGUAGUC